RNAcentral lists this ribosomal RNA (591 nucleotides) under uncultured bacterium. RNAcentral's name for it is "bacterial SSU rRNA". It matches the Rfam family "Bacterial small subunit ribosomal RNA", at positions 335 to 916 of the family's 1533-position model. The record is from RNAcentral.
ACUCCUACGGGAGGCAGCAGUGGGGGAUGUUGCACAAUGGGCGAAAGCCUGAUGCAGCAACGCCGCGUGAAGGAAGACGGUUUUCGGAUUGUAAACUUCUAUCAGCAGGGAAGAACAAGUACCGUUCGAAUAGGGCGGUACCAUGACGGUACCUAACGAGGAAGCCCCGGCUAACUACGUGCCAGCAGCCGCGGUAAUACGUAGGGGGCAAGCGUUGUCCGGAAUUAUUGGGCGUAAAGCGCGCGCAGGCGGUUUUUUAAGUCUGAUGUGAAAUCUUGUGGCUCAACCACAAGCGGUCAUUGGAAACUGGAGAACUUGAGUACAGAAGAGGAGAGUGGAAUUCCACGUGUAGCGGUGAAAUGCGUAGAUAUGUGGAGGAACACCAGUGGCGAAGGCGACUCUCUGGUCUGUAACUGACGCUGAGGCGCGAAAGCGUGGGGAGCGAACAGGAUUAGAUACCCUGGUAGUCCACGCCGUAAACGAUGAGUGCUAGGUGUUAGGGGGUUUCCGCCCCUUAGUGCUGCAGUUAACGCAUUAAGCACUCCGCCUGGGGAGUACGGCCGCAAGGCUGAAACUCAAAGGAAUUGACGG